UACAGAGGUGGCAAGCGUUGUUCGGAAUUACUGGGCGUAAAGGGCGCGUAGGCGGCCUACUAAGUCAGACGUGAAAUCCCCCGGCUUAACCUGGGAACUGCGUCUGAUACUGGAAGGCUUGAGGAUGGGAGAGGGAUGUAGAAUUCCAGGUGUAGCGGUGAAAUGCGUAGAUAUCUGGAGGAAUACCGGUGGCGAAGGCGGCAUCCUGGACCAUUACUGACGCUGAGGCGCGAAAGCUAGGGGAGCAAACAGG
This 253-nucleotide ribosomal RNA is filed under the name uncultured bacterium. Its description in RNAcentral is "partial 16S ribosomal RNA". It matches the Rfam family "Bacterial small subunit ribosomal RNA", at positions 524 to 776 of the family's 1533-position model. The record is from RNAcentral.